Camellia sinensis is the source of this 2565-nucleotide non-coding RNA. The record is from RefSeq and is a predicted model, not a curated record. NCBI's taxonomy places the organism in Eukaryota, Viridiplantae, Streptophyta, Magnoliopsida, Ericales, Theaceae.
AUAAUAAAACAAGGAGAGUAAUUAUUUUAGGGUUAAUAAUAUAAAUACAUAAAUAAAUAAAAACCUAAGUUCUUAUUAACACAGCCUCCGCAGCCGUGAGAAUGAGGGGGAAGGAGAAGAACAGCCGCAGUCCAGGUCUUGGACUUAGGUUUCGUAGCUCUUGCUCUGGGCCACCAUUAUCACAGGUAAGAAAACUUCCAUUUCUCUCUCUAUUUUUCUGAAAUCUGGUUCUUCUCUGAUCUGAUGAGUGAAAUAGGUUUGAAUUCAGUUCUGAAAUGGUUUGAUUUUUAAAUUUCUUCCAUGAUUGAAAUGGGUUUCUGAAAUGAUCUUUAUUUUCUGAAAGGGGUUUCGGAAUGGUUUCUAUCAUUGCACCGUUUCAAAAAUGGUGCUCGACAAAAUGUCACAAUGGCAUUGCAAAGAUGAGAUUUGUCAUCUCAGUUCUGUUAUUUCUUGUGUUCAUUUUAUUUGGAGUUGGCUUAUUGACUCAAGUAUUUAUGAGUAAUGAAUCUUCCCAAACCCACCUAUGAUAGACAUUUUGUAAUUUGGUAUCUUCUAGCAUUAGUGCGAGCAUUCAGGAAUUUGUGAUCAUGGUUCUUGAGUUCCUUUUGUACUCUAUUCAACUAGACAAGUUUUAUUAAUUGCUCCUGCACAAAUUAAGAGUUACUUGGUUGGAUGCAUCGCAAGUUCCGGGCCAAUGAACCACUGAAGGAUUUUAGCGUAGGGAAUUCUUGUACUUGUCUUUCAGGGCAACCAUCACUGGAUGACCAACAGUACUACCCAAAGUCAAAUUUUGGCACUAAAUCCUUAGGCAAAGCACAAAGAGACAACCAUCUGCGAAAAUCAUUUGCCAGCCUAGAAGCAGCAAGAGUAGAAGCAGACGACUUUGAAGAAGAAUCUUCAGUUGCGAUUUCCGAGCUCUUGCAUGGCUUCCUUACCAUAGGUACUCUUGGUUCAGACCCAGUCAGCACAGACUCAUCAACGCCAACAUUUGCCAUAUCAGUUGAGAACAUAACUGAAAAAGAAACAGAAGUAACAGAGAAUGAACUGAAGCUUAUUAAUGAUGAGUAGGAGAAGGUGAUAGGGGCUGAAAGAGACAGUUUCAAUGACUUAUCUGGGAGAAACAGUCAUGUUAGUACUGGAAGAAACAUUUAUGUUAGCACUGGAAGAAGCUGCCAUGGUAGCACCAUUACACUUAGAGGAAAGCCAUUGGAAGGCACAUAGACCAGUUGGAAUGGAACAACAAUCUGUCCACUCCAGAGCUAUCUGUUUGGAUCAGCAAUUGAGUUGCCAGAAACAACCACAGUGGUAAAGAAGGAACAUAGAACAUCGCUUGGGGAGCUGUUUCAGAGGACAAAAAUAGCAGAGGAAAAUUAUGUAGCCAAAAGCGAGAGGGGAGAAAAACGGACAUAAAAGGAGACAGAUAAAUCAGCCAUACACCUUAUGAAAAAGAUGCUGAAGAAAAGAAUGGUUCAUGGUUCUUCUCGGAGCUCCACCACAUCGACUGGGGGAAAUGUUGACUCUGCUUCAUCUGAGACAAAACUGCAUAAGGUAUGUGUACUUCUAGUUUAGACCUCUAUUACAUGAACUUGGGUGCAAUGCAUAUCAAAAUGUCGGACCCAACAAAUCUCAAAUUUAAGGUAUGCAAACUCGGCAAAAAAAGGUGAAUUUUUUUUUUAAUAUUAUUUUUAAUAUAUUAUGUGAGACAAAAUGGAAACAUAUAGUGUCAAAAAGGCAUUUUACUUAUUUUACUUCAGUCAUUUGAUCUAUGUAGUGGUUUCACUACGUGGGACUAUUGCAAACUUUCUUGGAGUGUUGAGAUGCCAUUAUACCCUUAUAGUGUACUGAAUGUGCUUGUUCAUCUUUAAGAACUUGUUUAACGUAAGUGUUCUCCAGUUAUGGUUACAUGCUCUCCAGUUACGGUUACAUGCUCCCUUUUCUGCCUAUGCAACAGUUUGAUCGACAAUUGUACUUUGUAGUUCUAAUUUAAGCUCAUUUACUUGACUAUGUUAGUCUCAUUUAUAGGGGCUGCUAUGGUUUUCCAUGGGUUUUAAUACUUCAUUGCAAGCUAGUAAUGGAAAUUUCAAUUUUUCAUUUCUUUCAGUGAUAGGACAAAAUAUUAUCUGUUGGCAUCCUUUGUUCUACACAUAAAGCAUAGUGAGUCCAAGGAUUCCGCUGUAAGCCCAAGAAUUUUGCUUUCUGGUCCUGCAGAUUUAUCAUGAUAUGACAGCUCAUUUAUCUCACUAUUUUGUAUAAACGGGCCAUAAUUUGUAUCUAACGGGAAAUCAACUAAGGAGUGACUGCAGUGAUGUCCCGAUCAUACAAGCAUUGCAGAGAGGUGUUAGAGUAUUUGAACUGGAUAUCUAGCCGAGUUCCACAAAAGAUAAUGUCAAUGUUCUUCAUGGAAGGAAACUCUGGCCAACCUCCCAAGCGUUUAGAAGUUUCUAGGAGCUCAAAUGGAGAAGAUGAUGAAGAAUGGUCGCUGAUAUCUGAAAUGCACUCAAGGUUAGAAAUUUCUUGGAGAGAUGCAAAAUAUGGUCAAAGAAUUCAAGAACUUAAUUUUGCAAG